Molecule: long non-coding RNA, 1004 nt
Organism: Rattus norvegicus (Norway rat)
Lineage: Eukaryota; Metazoa; Chordata; Mammalia; Rodentia; Muridae
Source: RefSeq, a predicted model, not a curated record
UUGGACAUCGGCGUGGUGCCCCACCCAAUCAGGACGGCUACCAGACCAUGGGCAGCUCUAGCCACAAGGAGGGUGGCUUUACAAUGUUGGGGUUGUGUGGUCCAGCUUGGCUGCUGUUCACCCUCCAGAUGCCACCCAGACACUAGGUCACAAGGACUCUGAGGUUCCCCAAAGUCUGAGUGUUCUGCUCCCAGCCUACUUUUAGGUGGCGAGGACUGGGGUGUAGCAGUAGAGGGAAGCUAAAAGAAUAGGUAGUCCUGUGUCUCAUCGUGAACUGGCUUUCCGAAGAUCAUGACUAACUGCGUCCACCACGGCAUUGCGCUCUGUUCUGAGGUACCGCAAUGAGAAAGUGCCUUUGUGUAAAGCUCCCAGGAAGAGUGGCGCAUCAAUCAGAAGCAGGCACCCAAGCCACCUCAAGGUGACCAAGAAACAGAAAAUCCCGUUUGGCCAAGGGCAGGAGAACACAGAGCUCUGAGCUUUGUCAGAGUUUGCCAUGAGAAACAGCAUGGCGAGUCUACUAAAUCGAUACAGAAUUGAAUGUAGGGUCUUGAACACAUGUCUACACUCAUUCCCAUAGCUCAAGGAGGGAGAGUGAUCAGUGUCUAUGGACAGGCAAGUGGGUGAGCAAGGACGCAUCUGUGCAGGGGUAUGAUUCAGUCUCAAGGAGGAAAGAAACUGUGACACAUGCUAUCUGGAUGAAGCUGAUGACUUAAUGCUACCCAGAUUACACCAGUCACAAAAGGAAAGAGCUAUUCCUCAGCAGAUUCCUUCUCCCCUCCCUGUGCCCAGUUGUUUCAGAGAGCCUCGCAGAAGCAAACACAAGUAAGAGCAGAGGGAAGAGGGAGAAGUCACAGCCCAGAAGGACAUCUAGAGCCCAGUCAGAAUAAGAAGCCUCAAAGGAUGCUUCAGGCCUCUGUCUCCCAGCACCAGCAGGCAGCCUGAAAAUUGGGUUAGAGCAAGGGGCAAAUUAUGGCUAUUAAAAAAGACAUUGUUGUGAGCCAUGU